UACGGAGGGAGCUAGCGUUGUUCGGAAUUACUGGGCGUAAAGCGCACGUAGGCGGUCUUGUAAGUUAGAGGUGAAAGCCCGGGGCUCAACUCCGGAACUGCCUUUAAGACUGCAAGACUAGAAUCCAGGAGAGGUGAGUGGAAUUCCGAGUGUAGAGGUGAAAUUCGUAGAUAUUCGGAAGAACACCAGUGGCGAAGGCGGCUCACUGGACUGGUAUUGACGCUGAGGUGCGAAAGCGUGGGGAGCAAACAGG
RNAcentral lists this ribosomal RNA (253 nucleotides) under uncultured bacterium. RNAcentral's name for it is "partial 16S ribosomal RNA". It matches the Rfam family "Bacterial small subunit ribosomal RNA", at positions 524 to 776 of the family's 1533-position model. The record is from RNAcentral.